Long non-coding RNA from Salvelinus sp. IW2-2015, 1930 nucleotides. RefSeq lists it as uncharacterized. NCBI's taxonomy places the organism in Eukaryota, Metazoa, Chordata, Actinopteri, Salmoniformes, Salmonidae. The record is from RefSeq and is a predicted model, not a curated record.
AUUUGGAUCGUGCAUGUCCUAGAGUAAAACAACCGACACGUGUUUGUGAGAGACUCAACUUUACACAGUAUUAGUGUGUAUCUAAAACAGUUCAGACGCUGCAGACAGAAGUUGGCAGAUUGGAUGUACCAACUUCAGAUGAGUUCCGUGAUGUUUGUGGGGGUUGUUGAGCAAAACAGAGAACACCGUUCGAACGCUACAGACGUUUUUGUGAGAAGACCGAUUUUCGGGAUGUCUCAUGAUCUGACAAACAUUGCUCUAGCUCUGCCUCUUUUCACCACAGAUGCAGGGAUUUGGCGACAUCGGUUGAUGCAAUUGAUUGUCAACUGAAAAAAAAAAMAGAUGUCUCUAGUUUAAAUUGACGGAUUUUGAUGGGGAUUUUUGAAAAUUAUACUAAUUAGAUUUACGCGAGGCCGAUGACAACUCUAGGGUGAAUACAGUGUGUGUGGUAUUUUUGUGUAUCAUUUCGUUGGCACAGUAGUUUUGAUGUGGGUUUGUAUGGUUGUAGAAUGAACUGGUCUUUACAGACUUCAUCAAGCUGUCGUUUGGAGGAAGCCGUGUCAGAAAGACCAGAGGGCGUGCAACUUCCUAGCAGGGCUUGUGGAACAUCGUUCGACUUCCACAAACAAAUAGACUACCUCUUCCUGUUUGGCACGAAGGAGGGCAAGAUUCACAAGUGCUCCAAGGCCUACUUCAGCCAGUUCCUGGAAACCUAAUAAUGCCCACAACAUGGCGGUGGACGCAGUUAAGAGGAACCACUUCCACCCCAAGGUCUUCAUUUCCUGCAGCUCUGACCUGGUCCCAGAUCAUGUGAAGAUGACCAUAGGAGUUGGCAAGACAACACAAACAGAUCUGGGAUCCUUCUAUUCUAAGAUGACAGCCCAACAUUGUCCAUAUGAACCCUAGGUCUUGCUUCAUCUUUCACCCAACUAUUACUUUACAAACUGUGAAAAUUAUUCCAAGAUGUCCAACCAUAUUCAUCACUUUCCUCACCCCCUUUCAAUAUAAUUUGCCUGUCAGUUAAUUUGACAAACCCAAUUAGAUAGUUAUAUCAGUUAUAAUUAAAUACUUUGCUGACUAAAGUCAGGUAUCUACAGUCAACUUUCCAUGAAAACUUUGCUUGGCUCUCUCUCAUCAAGCCAAUGUUUAUGGCUAUACACAGAACUACCAGCAGAUGGCUUGAACACAUCAAAAACACAGACGUGUUUAGUGCUUUUCAACUGGUUCUCAACUGACUUCAGUCUUGUCAAGACUGUGUUCAUUGUGUUGAUUGUUACCACUGAGAUAUUGACUAUGCCUGCAUUGGUCUUUUGUGUUGGGGCAGACUGUUGGUCUACUUGUAAGUUUCACUUCACAAUCAUUAGUUUAGCACCUACCCCCAAUCUGCCAUAAAACCUAGUAAUAAUAUCACAUCUUCAAACAGGUUGAAAGGGCUUUGAAAACAACAGAAACCUCUGAAAAACAUGAAUACUGUGUAUUCUACAUUGUUUAGGGGGCAUGGUAAAGGAGCCAGUUAUUCACUUCAACCAGCUCUUCAUUUUUUAACAGUAGUCCGUCUGCACACUUAAAUGGCAAUUUGAAUAGGAUCAUGUGGAUUGAUUAGGUUGGCAUUACUUUCUCCUUUUGAUACAAGUCCUUGUAAUGCCAUCUAUCUGAAUGAGCUGUGAGUGAUAAGUCACAGAUAUGAUCUAGCCUGAGUCACAAAAUGUCAGAAGUAGGUUACAUAAUCAGGGCUGAAGCCUGGCGGCCUGUGAGAAACUACUGCAAUCUGUCAGCUGCACCCACACCCCCUUGAAUCCACACGUCUUUCAUUGGCUUCAUGUGCUAUUUGUCUAUCCACUUUAUACUGAAGGAAAAAAAACUCAAUGCAACAAUUUAAAAGAUUUUACUGAGUUACAGUUCAUAGAAGGAAAUCAGUCAAUUGAAAUAA